UCUGACGGAGCAACGCCGCGUGAGUGAUGAAGGUUUUCGGAUCGUAAAGCUCUGUUGUUAGGGAAGAACAAGUACCGUUCGAAUAGGGCGGUACCUUGACGGUACCUAACCAGAAAGCCACGGCUAACUACGUGCCAGCAGCCGCGGUAAUACGUAGGUGGCAAGCGUUGUCCGGAAUUAUUGGGCGUAAAGGGCUCGCAGGCGGUUCCUUAAGUCUGAUGUGAAAGCCCCCGGCUCAACCGGGGAGGGUCAUUGGAAACUGGGGAACUUGAGUGCAGAAGAGGAGAGUGGAAUUCCACGUGUAGCGGUGAAAUGCGUAGAGAUGUGGAGGAACACCAGUGGCGAAGGCGACUCUCUGGUCUGUAACUGACGCUGAGGAGCGAAAGCGUGGGGAGCGAACAGGAUUAGAUACCCUGGUAGUCCACGCCGUAAACGAUGAGUGCUAAGUGUUAGGGGGUUUCCGCCCCUUAGUGCUGCAGCUAACGCAUUAAGCACUCCGCCUGGGGAGUACGGUCGCAAGACUGAAACUCAAAGGAAUUGACGGGGGCCCGCACAAGCGGUGGAGCAUGUGGUUUAAUUCGAAGCAACGCGAAGAACCUUACCAGGUCUUGACAU
Molecule: ribosomal RNA, 615 nt
Filed under: Bacillus sp. S70-6
Lineage: Bacteria; Bacillati; Bacillota; Bacilli; Caryophanales; Bacillaceae
Also listed under: 1 other name
Description: bacterial SSU rRNA
Rfam family: Bacterial small subunit ribosomal RNA
Source: RNAcentral